CAGAAACUACAAGGAAUUGACGGGCCCCGCACAAGCAGCGGAGCGUGUGGUUUAAUUCGAUGCUACACGAAGAACCUUACCAGGGUUUGACAUACAAGUAGUAGGGAAAGGAAACUGGACCGACCCUUCGGGGAGCUUGAACAGGUGCUGCAUGGCUGUCGUCAGCUCGUGUCGUGAGAUGUUCGGUUAAGUCCGCUAACGAGCGCAACCCUCGCUGUGUGUUACAAGUGUCACACGGAACUGCCGGUCAUAAACCGGAGGAAGGUGGGGAUGACGUCAAGUCAGCAUGGCCUUUAUAUCCUGGGCUACACACACGCUACAAUGGGAAGGGACAAUAGGUUGCGAAACCGCGAGGUGGAGCCAAUCCAGCAAAACUUCCCUCAGUUCAGAUUGCAGGCUGCAACUCGCCUGCAUGAAGUUGGAGUUGCUAGUAAACGCAGGUCAGCCAUACUGCGUUGAAUACGUUCCCGGGGCUU
RNAcentral lists this ribosomal RNA (476 nucleotides) under uncultured Levilinea sp. RNAcentral describes it as "bacterial SSU rRNA". It matches the Rfam family "Bacterial small subunit ribosomal RNA", at positions 894 to 1382 of the family's 1533-position model. The record is from RNAcentral. Lineage: Bacteria; Bacillati; Chloroflexota; Anaerolineae; Anaerolineales; Anaerolineaceae.